Molecule: ribosomal RNA, 434 nt
Filed under: uncultured Lachnospiraceae bacterium
Lineage: Bacteria; Bacillati; Bacillota; Clostridia; Lachnospirales; Lachnospiraceae
Description: partial 16S ribosomal RNA
Rfam family: Bacterial small subunit ribosomal RNA
Source: RNAcentral
ACGGAAGGCAGCAGUGGGGGAUAUUGCACAAUGGGGGAAACCCUGAUGCAGCGACGCCGCGUGAGUGAAGAAGUAUUUCGGUAUGUAAAGCUCUUUAAGCUGGAAAGAUAAUGACGGUACCAGCAGAAUAAGCCCCGGCUAACUACGUGCCAGCAGCCGCGGUCAUACGUAGGGGGCAAGCGUUAUCCGGAUUUACUGGGUGUAAAGGGGGCGUAGACGGUAAAGCAAGUCUGAAGUGAAAUCAUAGGGCUUAACCCUGUAAUUGCUUUGGAAACUGUUUAACUAGAGUACCGGAGGGGUAAGCGGAAUUCCUGGUGUAGCGGUGAAAUGCGUAGAUAUCAGGAAGAACACCGGUGGCGAAGGCGGCCUGCUGGACGGUAACUGACGUUGAGGCUCGAAAGCGUGGGGAGCAAACAGGAUUAGAUACCCUGGUA